GAACUAAACGGCAAAUGCUGCCCAUCCUGUUUAAAAAGAAACUUUAGAGGUGAAUGCAUUUCUUCAGAGAGGGUGCAAUGCCGCGGGAAACAAAACAAAUGCUUUGCAUAUGAAGGAACGGUGGAGAAAGCAGAUUUGAGCGUCUGGGAUUACAGUAUGAAGGGCUGCAUUAGUGAUCUGGGAUGUAGUCUGAAGUUUGACGCGUUGCCCGGGACCAGGGAGGUGGAAGGAAGAGUAUUCGAAUGUACUGAACCAUUACCUAGUACCGAGUGCCCCGGGAUUUAAUUCUCGCUAUGGUCCACAAUUCCAUGAAGUAUGGCCAUCUGUAACAUGGAAAACGUGUGGCUUUUGCAUUAAAAUUUGAUCAGGGAUCUGGGAAAAAAAAUCUCAUCCCUUCAACACACUUCAAAAUAAUUGAUUUAAUGAUUUCUAAUAAAAAUGUUCCUCAUGCAUGCGCACUUACUGCGGUCUCUCAUUCUUCCACGGCAGAGAUGCAGGAAGGCAAUUGUCAAAAAAUAUACAUAAUUCUGAAUACGUACACGUUUAAUAAAAAUACGCCAUUUUUUGAAUUGUAUGAUUCUUGUUACUGUUUGCUUGCUCUUGUAUCCUCUCUGACCAAUUAAUAAAUAAAUCUUAUUAACCUAGAAAA
Long non-coding RNA from Spea bombifrons (plains spadefoot toad), 649 nucleotides. RefSeq lists it as uncharacterized. Lineage: Eukaryota; Metazoa; Chordata; Amphibia; Anura; Pelobatidae. The transcript has 2 exons. The record is from RefSeq and is a predicted model, not a curated record.